Molecule: RNA transcript, 1677 nt
Organism: Otolemur garnettii (small-eared galago)
Lineage: Eukaryota; Metazoa; Chordata; Mammalia; Primates; Galagidae
Gene name: pyruvate kinase PKM pseudogene
Exons: 1
Source: RefSeq, a predicted model, not a curated record
UUGGACAAUGCCUACAUGGAGAAGUGUGACGAGAACAUCUUGUGGCUGGACUACAAGAACAUCUGUAAAGUGGUGGAGGUGGGCAGCAAGAUCCAUGUGGAUGAUGGACUGAUUUCCCUGCUGGUGAAGCAGAAAGGUGGUGACUUCCUGGUGACAGAGGUGGAAAAUGGCAGCAGCAAGAAGGGUGUAAACAUUCUCAGGGCUGCUGUGGACCUGCCUGCUGUAUCAGAAAAGGAUAUCCAGGACCUGAAGUUUGGGGUAGAGCAGGAUAUAGAUAUGUUUGCAUCUUUCAUCCACAAGGUGUCUGAUGUCCAUGAUGUCAGGAAGGUCCUGGGAGAGAAAGGAAAGAACAUCAAGAUAAUCAGCAAAAUCGAGAAUCUUGAGGGAGUUCGGAGGUUUGAUGAGAUCCUGGAGGCCAGUGAUGGUAUCAUGGUGGCUCGUGGUGACCUAGGCAUUGAGAUUCCUGCAGAGAAGGUCUUUCUUGCUCAGAAGAUGAUAAUUGGGCGGUGCAACCGAGCUGAGAUGCCUGUCAUCUGUGCCAUGCAGCUGCUGGAGAGCAUGAUCAAGAAGCCUCACCCCACCUGCUUAGAGGGCAGCAAUGUGGCCAAUGCAGUCCUGGACGGAGCUGACUGCAUCAUGCUGUCUAGAGAAACAGCCAAAGGGGACUACCCUCUGGAAGCUGUUCACAUGCAGCUCCUGAUUGCCCCUGAGGCAGAGGCUGCCAUCUACCACUUGCAAUUAUUUGAGGAACUCCACUGCCUGGCGCCCAUUACCAGCAACCCCACAGAAGCUGCUGCCAUAGGCACCAUGGAGGCCCCCUUCAAUUGCUGCAGUGGGGGCCAUAAUAGUCCUCACAAAGUCUGGCAGGUCAGCUCACCAGGUGGUCAGAUACUGCCCACGUGCCCCCAUCAUUUCUAUGACACGGAAUCCCUAGACAGCUUGCCAGGCCCACCUAUACCAUGGCAUAUUCCUGUCUUAUGCAAGGACCCAGUCCAGGAAGCCUGGGCUGAAGAUGUGGACCUCUGGGUGAACUUGGCCAUGGAUGUUGGAAAGGCCCGAGGCUUCUUCAAGUCAGGAGAUGUAGUCAUUGUGCUGACUGGGUGGCGCCCUGGCUCUAGCUUCACCAACACCAUGUGUGUAGUGCCUGGGCCGUGAUGGACCCCAGGAGCCCCUCUUUCAGCCCCUCUACUAGUCCCUUCCCCAGACCCAUCCAUUAGGCCAGCAACGCUUGUAGAGCUCACUCUGGGCUAUAGUGUGGCACUGGUGGGCUGGAACACCAGGGAGAAGAUAAUGCCGCUGUGAAACAAGGCUGUUUGUAGACCCUGCUCGGGUGGGGUAGCCCUGAGCCUGGCUUGCCCAUCAUUUGGCCCCACCCAAGCAAGGAACAAAGGAGGAAUACAAGACUGGAAGCCCCAGAGCCUAUGGCAAGAGGGCAACAGCUCCCUCUCCCUUGUGUUCUUGGUUUCUCCUUUCUGCAGAAAAUGGAUGCCCAGAGAACUCCCAGCCCUGGCCUGGGAUCAGGAGACAGCCAGUAAGAGUAGGGGCCUUAGGGCAUGGGGCAGUGAUUCCAGUUGAAGCAGUCUCUGGCCCUUACGUGCUUCCCUAGAUCCAUGGCCUCCCCUACUCCCACCUUGUGCGCUGUGCUCUUCUGUCCUGCGCUCUGCUCACCUUUUGCUA